CAAAGGCUUGGUCCUGACUUUACUAUCAACUUUAGACAAAUUUACACAUGCAAGUAUCCGCACUCCUGUGAGAAUGCCCUACAGUCCCCCGUCCGGGAACAAGGAGCUGGUAUCAGGCACAUUCAUCAGGCCCAUGACACCUUGCUUAGCCACACCCUCAAGGGAACUCAGCAGUGAUAGACAUUAAGCCAUAAGUGAAAACUUGACUUAAUUAAAGCUAAGAGGGCCGGUAAAACUCGUGCCAGCCACCGCGGUUAUACGAGAGGCCCAAGUUGACAGACACCGGCGUAAAGAGUGGUUAAGCUAAAACUUAAACUAAAGCCAAACAUCUUCAAGACUGUUAUACGUACCCGAAGACAGGAAACUCAACCACGAAAGUAGCUUUAUUUAAUCUGACCCCACGAAAGCUACGGCACAAACUGGGAUUAGAUACCCCACUAUGCCUAGCCAUAAACAUUGAUAGUAUUUUACACCCACUAUCCGCCCGGGUACUACGAGCAACAGCUUAAAACCCAAAGGACUUGGCGGUGCUUUAGACCCACCUAGAGGAGCCUGUUCUAGAACCGAUAACCCCCGUUCAACCUCACCCUUCCUUGUUUUUCCCGCCUAUAUACCGCCGUCGUCAGCUUACCCUGUGAGGGUCAAAUAGUAAGCAAAACUGGCACAGCCUAAAACGUCAGGUCGAGGUGUAGCGUAUGGAGGGGGAAGAAAUGGGCUACAUUCGCUACAGUAGCGAACACGAAAGAUGAGCUGAAACGUUUAUCUGAAGGAGGAUUUAGCAGUAAGCGGGAAAUAGAGCGUCCCGCUGAAACUGGCCCUGAAGCGCGCACACACCGCCCGUCACUCUCCCCAAAACCACACCCCCGUUAAUUAAAACCUAAUAACCAACAAGGGGAGGCAAGUCGUAACAUGGUAAGUGUACCGGAAGGUGCACUUGGUAUAAU
Molecule: non-coding RNA, 944 nt
Filed under: Cyclopterus lumpus (lumpfish)
Lineage: Eukaryota; Metazoa; Chordata; Actinopteri; Perciformes; Cyclopteridae
Description: 12S ribosomal RNA
Rfam family: Bacterial small subunit ribosomal RNA
Source: RNAcentral